RNAcentral lists this long non-coding RNA (667 nucleotides) under Malus domestica (apple). RNAcentral describes it as "long non-coding RNA (MDOM_LNC007494)". The record is from RNAcentral. Lineage: Eukaryota; Viridiplantae; Streptophyta; Magnoliopsida; Rosales; Rosaceae.
AUUGAUUGUCUCUAUAGUAGAGAUAAUAUGGUAGUGUUAACUGUUUAGAAUAUAAUGAUGCUUAAAACCCAAAAGGUUGCAAGGUAGUGACUAAUCCCAACUAAGUUGUGAUUCCUCUAAAAACAUAAGUUAUGAGUUGGUGAAAGAUGGAUACUUUGGAUCGUUAGAUCCGGAUCCAAUACCUUCUUGUUAAAAUUGUAUAGAGGCGAAAUGUUCGAAUCUUUAUUCUUUUGGAAAGAAGAAAGAAUCACAAAGUUGUUGAGGUUAAUUCACUUAGAUGUUAGUGGCACUUGUCCACAAACAUAAUACUACUCAUGUUGUAUGACAUUCACCGAAGAUCACUCUCGGUUGGACUAUAGUUUAUUUUGAAUAAACACAAGUCCGAAUACUUUGCAAAAUGUUUCAAAGAAUUCAAGUAAUGUAAGUUGAUGAGUAAGACGUCUAAAGUAUUUACCUCCUUAGAUUUGAUCCAAGAAAGGUAACACUUUAGAAACAGUUUCCUUGAAAGAUAUCAAGGAAAUAAGCAUCAUAAGAUAAUAGAUUUCUCCAUAAGGAGAAGAACGAACUUAAAUAAGAUUUAGUUCGUUGGAUAUUAUCAAUUACCCAUAUAUAGGAUAUAUACUUCUAAAACAAUAUGAUUGUCAAUUAGAAGAUCUUCCAAAAUUUU